AAUGAAAAUAAUUUAGAUGUAGAUAUUCAAACUCCAAAUCUACUUGAUAACACAUAGUACAUACUGAAAAAAAAAUCAAGGACUAACUGAUCUUUAGGAAGAAGCUCUAGGUAAAGCACAUUCUACAUUUUUGGAUAUGUUCCCACAGCAAUAUCGGUAUAUUGAUCUUUAGGAAGAAGCUCUAGGUAAAGCAAACAGUUCUAGUGCAUUCAAGAUGAGCAUGAAGGCAACAUAUUUGUAGAAUGCAGGUCUUGCUGCAGAAGGACAAAGAAGCAACAGUAAGUCUAUGAUUA
RNAcentral lists this long non-coding RNA (293 nucleotides) under Gossypium raimondii (Peruvian cotton). Its description in RNAcentral is "long non-coding RNA (GRAI_LNC002200)". Lineage: Eukaryota; Viridiplantae; Streptophyta; Magnoliopsida; Malvales; Malvaceae. The record is from RNAcentral.